Molecule: ribosomal RNA, 669 nt
Filed under: Streptomyces sp.
Lineage: Bacteria; Bacillati; Actinomycetota; Actinomycetes; Kitasatosporales; Streptomycetaceae
Description: bacterial SSU rRNA
Rfam family: Bacterial small subunit ribosomal RNA
Source: RNAcentral
CAAUGGGCGAAAGCCUGAUGCAGCGACGCCGCGUGAGGGAUGACGGCCUUCGGGUUGUAAACCUCUUUCAGCAGGGAAGAAGCGAAAGUGACGGUACCUGCAGAAGAAGCGCCGGCUAACUACGUGCCAGCAGCCGCGGUAAUACGUAGGGCGCAAGCGUUGUCCGGAAUUAUUGGGCGUAAAGAGCUCGUAGGCGGCUUGUCACGUCGAUUGUGAAAGCUCGGGGCUUAACCCCGAGUCUGCAGUCGAUACGGGCUAGCUAGAGUGUGGUAGGGGAGAUCGGAAUUCCUGGUGUAGCGGUGAAAUGCGCAGAUAUCAGGAGGAACACCGGUGGCGAAGGCGGAUCUCUGGGCCAUUACUGACGCUGAGGAGCGAAAGCGUGGGGAGCGAACAGGAUUAGAUACCCUGGUAGUCCACGCCGUAAACGGUGGGAACUAGGUGUUGGCGACAUUCCACGUCGUCGGUGCCGCAGCUAACGCAUUAAGUUCCCCGCCUGGGGAGUACGGCCGCAAGGCUAAAACUCAAAGGAAUUGACGGGGGCCCGCACAAGCGGCGGAGCAUGUGGCUUAAUUCGACGCAACGCGAAGAACCUUACCAAGGCUUGACAUACACCGGAAAGCAUUAGAGAUAGUGCCCCCCCUUGUGGUCGGUGUACAGGUGGUGCAUGGC